This 5211-nucleotide long non-coding RNA is filed under the name Homo sapiens (human). RNAcentral's name for it is "HSALNT0289789". Lineage: Eukaryota; Metazoa; Chordata; Mammalia; Primates; Hominidae. The record is from RNAcentral.
GAGCAGCCCGAAGCCAUGAGUCGCUGUCACUGCUCUUUCUGUGCCUGGUGCAGCCCCAGCUCAUGGGGUCUGGGCCACCUCUGAUCCCAUGCCCCCCACUUCACACUCGGGGUUCUGGCUUCCCUGCUGUGAGCCUGUCUCUCCUCCGUGGGACAGGCCAGCCUGGGCAGCCAUCCCAGUGCUCACUGCCCAGCAUAUAGUGGGUGCCUCAUAAAUGUGGGCUGAACAGAGCCUGCCCCGGGCCCCCUGACUUCCAGACAUAAAGUAGGUGCUUCAUAAAUGCAGGCCAAACAGAACCUACCCUGGGGGCCUCCACUUCCCUUUGAUGGGGGCAGAGACCCUCUGCCGGGCAGCGGCCACCCAGUGCCUGGGACAGGUGCCCCUUUCUCCCACCCUGGCCUAUCUCGGGGCAUCUGAGGGAGGACGGGGCUGUGCCCCCCACUUCACCCUCGAGGGUCUGGCUUCCCCACCUGUGAGCUUGUCUCUCCUCCGUGGGAGGAGCCGCACCGUCGUUUUCACUUUCCAUGAUGACCGUUGAGUGAGAGAAGAUGACGGCAGCUCCUGCGUUUAAAAAGGAACCAUCCGCGUAACUGCCGCAGGCAGGGCCCGUGCUCGGGCAGUGAGGCCUCGGCCCUGAGAAGGCCCGGACCCCACAGGCCUGGCCCUGGCUGAGAGGGAGUUGGAGUCCCCCGCCUGGGGCAGCCCCUCUGCACCUGGGGUGGUGGAGCAGGAGCUUGGCUGCAGGCGGGGCUUUCCUCCCAGCUCUGGGAGCCACCUUGCUGCAAACGCUGUGACUUCCGAGAGCCUCCGUCUCUGUUUGACACUGUUAAUCCUUUAGGUGACUUUUUUUUUUUUUAGAUGGAGUUUUGCUCAUCGCCCAGUCUGGAGUGCAAUGGCGCGGUCUCAGCUCACUGCAACCUCUGCCUCCCAGGUUCAAGUGAUUCUCCUGCCUCAGUCUCCCAAGUAGCUGGGAUUACAGGUGCCCAACACCACGCCCAGUUAAUUUUUGUAUUUUUCGUAGAGAUGGGGUUUCACCAUGUUACUCAGGAUGGUCUCAAACUCCUGAUCUCAGAUGAUCCGCACGCCUCCACCUCCCAAAGUGCUGGGAUUACAGGCGUGAGCCACCAUGCCUGGCCUAGGUGACUUUUCAUGGUGAGAUAACACACAGGCAUGGUGAGCAGCAUGGCAGAGGACCUGUGUGCAGGGCCCUGUCUCCCGCCGGGGAAUCCUUCAUCUGGGAAAUCUCCGCUGCGGGACAGGGAUGCUGUGUCGUCAGGACGCAGCGUCUCUCCAGGGCACCCGGGCCUCCUCUGAGCCUCUUUGCGCUCUUUGGCUGCGUGCUUUCUUCCCUGUGGCAAAAGGUACAUGACGUUUUAUUGACCAUUUCAGCCAUUGGCAAGUGUGCAAAUCAGUGGCUUUAGUCCAUUCGCAAUGCAGCUGGACCCCACCCUUUCCUGAUUCCCGCAGGCCAGGGCUGAGGGCGGGGAGGGGCCUGUGCAGCAGCCUGAGACCGGCUGUCCAAUGGCAGAGCUUCCUUCUGGGAAACCAUGGGUCCCCUGGGGCCCCAUGCUGGAACCCCAGCAAUGGUGGUUCACGUGUCUCUCCAUCUCACUUCCCGUGCAAAAGCGACACAGGCGGGUACAAACCCAAACAGUGCAGACAUGGAGGAGACAGAAAAGUGAAAAUGGUUUCUGAGCCCCUCCAGCCGCCCUCUGGGCACACCAGCCUGGAGUUCUUCAGACACAAGCACUCCCUGCAGCCAGCGUAGUUGGUGCUCACUGGAGGGCUGGCCAGGCCUGGGAGCUGAUCCUCUCAGCAAAGUUCAGCCCCAGGGAUGAGCUCAGCCGGAGAAGGAGACCUCUUUGCCUCUGGGGCUGCUGCCCUGGUGGAGCCACGCCGGGAACCCGAAUUCCAGCCGAGACAGUUCUGGACCCAAUUGUGUCUCCCCUGAUUUUCUGUGUGGAGACUUAAGCCCCAGUGAUGCUGCAUUUGGAGGUGGACUUGUAGGGAGGGAGAGACACCAAGCGCCCUCUCUCUGCCCUGGCCAAGGGGAAGGCCGGGUGAGGACAUAAUGAGAAGGUCCCUUCUGCAAGCCAGGAAGAGACGCUGCCUGGAACCAACCCUGCCUGCGCUGGCUCCGGGACCUCUCGCCACCAGGACUGUGGGAAAAUGCUGCCCAUGGCUUCAGCCACUCAGUCUGUGGGACUUUGUCCUGACCAGUUGAACAGAUUAACACAGCCUAAAAAAGUGUACACAUGUGGGCAAACAUACAUACACAGAGAAGCAAACAGUGCUCGGGGGAGGGGACACCAGACCUGGGUUUGCCGGAGCCCGCGGUGGAGCAGGUGGAAUGCGACCUCCUCAGAGCCUGUGACUAUCAGGGAAGGAGCGGCCCAAGGAGGCCCGAGCAGUCUGCCAGGGGCAGGGCCCCUAUGGGUGUCAACAUCUUCUGAGAGUUGGGCACAGCCUGGACUUUUCCCAGGGUGGGGCCGGACCUCCCAGGGGCUUCGGGGCUGGGCCAAGACUCCUGGAUUCAUCAGGCUGCAGCCACACUGGGGUUGUGGGCCACGGGUCUGUUCCGUGCAGACGGACCCAAGGGAUGGACAGACAUAGGACAGCCUGGUACCAAUUCCCACUUGGAAACAUCACCUGCUUCAGGGUCCGUAUGACGUCCAAUAAAGUACACCCGCUGUGAGCCUGUGAGCCUUGAGUCUGGCAAGUGCCUGCCCUCACAUAACCACCAUCACUUUUGUGAUGAAGACAUUUCCAAGAAAGUUCCCUUGUUGAGCUUCUAUGGACUGAAUGACGUUUCCCCCAAUUCACAGGUCUAAGCCCUACACCCCAGUGUGACUAUGUUUGGAAAUGGGGCCCUCAAAGAACUGAUUAAGGUGAAGAGACGUAAUGAUGGCCAGCACUACACAGGAGGAAUGGUGUCCUUAUAGGAAGAAGAGGCGCCAGUGUCCUGGGGGCAGAGGGACCACCCUGUGAGGACAUAGGGAGCAGGUACCAUCUGCAGGCCCAGGAGGGAACCAACCCCACCUGCCCCUGCAUCUUGGACUUCCAGCCCCCAGAACCAUGACAACAUUGCGUUUCCAUUUCUUGAGCCCCCAAGUCUGUGGCCCUUUGCUUUGUUUUGACACCCCAGCAACAUGAGCCCCUUCCCAACCCCUCCCCAGCCCUGGCCACAUCAUCCUUGACCUCUCUCUCCCAGCAGGUUAGAUCUGCCUGUCCCAGAAUUUCACCUGAAUCACAAAGCGUGGCGCCUCGGGGCCUGGCUCCCUUCACGUGGCCUGAUGUCUGCAUAUUCAUCCGCCGUGCAGUGUGUGUCCACGGUUCAUUUUGUGUUGCCACGUAGCAUCUCAUUGUGUGGCCCUAGCCCAGUGUGUUAAUCCGUUCACCUGCUGGUGGGUGUUGCAGUGGUUUCCAGCUCUUGGUUAUCACCGAGAAAGUGACUGUGAACUUUCGCACACACGUUUUGCUGAGGACAACUCCUUCCAUUUCACUUGGUUACUAGGAGUGGAGUUGCUGGGUCCUAGGGAAGGUGUGUGUUUCUCUCUAAAAGAAUUUGCCAAACCGAUGUCCAAAGCUGUACCAUUUCAGGCUCCUGCCAGCAGCACGUGGGAGCUCUAAUUACCCCAUGUCCUUCCCACACUUGGUAUGGUCAGAACUUUUCCUCUCCAUCACCGUGACGGGUGUGGAGUGGAAUCUCACAGUGGUUUAACGUCAUUUCCCGAAUGACUGUGCAUGCUGACCACCCUUUCAUGGCUUUGGUGAAGUUCAAAUCUUGCCCAUUAAAAAACAAUAGUGCUGUUUGUCCUCGUAUUGACUUGUAAGAAUUUUCUCAGAGUGUUGGAAUUGUCACCCAAUGCGUGGUUUGCCUUUUCAUUUCCUGGAAAGCAUACUUCCAAGAGCAGGAGUUGCUAAUGUCAAUAAGUCCCAAUUUCAAACAUUUUCUCUCGUAGCUCUUGUGUUCUGCGUCCUGUCUAAGAAAUCUUUGCCCACGUCCAGGUCACAGAUAUUUUCUCCAAUGUUUUUCGCAGGAAGUCUUAUAGUUUGAGCUUUACAUUCAAGCCUAUCGUUCGUUUCAAGCUAAUUUUUUGUGUCGUGUAGGUAAAGAUUAAGGCCAUUGUCCCCUGUCAUUUAUCCAGUAUUCCAGAAAUUGUUUGCCAAAAAGACUACCUUCUUCACAUUGCAUUACCUUGACACCUCUGUCAGAAAUGCUUGCAUCAUCUGUGAAUGGGUCUCUCUCUGGCCGCUCCUGUUUCAUUGACCUAUUGGCACGCCUCAUGCCCGCCCCACUCUCUCUCAAUGGCUGAAGCUCUACAGUAAGUCUUUAAGUCAGGAAAUGAAAAUACUCCAACUUCGCUCUUCCUUUUCACUAUUAUUUCGGCUGGUAAAUGUCCUGUCUGUUUUCAUAUACAUGUUUAGAAUCAGUUUCUCGAUUUCGACGACCAAGCCUGCUGGAAUGUUGACUGGGAUUGCAUUGGUCCAUUUGGGGGACAAUGGGUAUUUUCCUCAUACUUGGUCUUCUGAUGUAUCCACAUGCCAUGCCUUUCCAGUUAUUAGAACUUCUUUCACUUCUCUCGACAACGUUUUCACUGGCCUUGCGGGUAUUUUGUUAAAUUUCCCCUAAGCAUUUCCUGUUUUUUGAUGCAAAUAUGUUCUUGUUUCCCUUAUACUUCAAAUUCCAAUGUUUAGUUUUUAAAAUAUUGGCCUUGCAUCUUGUGACCUUGAUAAUAAAGUGACUAGUUCUCACAGGCAUUUUGUCGAUUUCUUAGGACUUUUAUACACAUGAGCACAUUCUCUGCAAAGAGGCAAUGUCUUUUUCCCCCUUUGUGUCCAAUCUCUAUGCCUUCCAUUUCUUUUUCUUGUCUUAUUGCACUGGCUAGGACCUCCAGUACCAUGUUGAGUGCAGGUGGUAGGAUGGGAGUCCUUGCCUGGCUCCUGACCUUUAGAAAGACACAUCCUGUCUCACCUGCAGACUUGAGGCAUGGGGCGACUCUGCAUGCCAUCUCCUGGGCUCAGCUUCUGCACCACUCCCUGGUCUCUGCAGCUCUGUCUUGUAAUUUCCAGCUGCAAUCCUUUUGCUUUUACCCAGCCCAUUUCUCUUUUGUGUGUGUGUGUCUUUUUUUCCCCUUUUUCUGCAGAAGAGGGUCUCUCUAUAUUGCCCAGGCAGGUCUUGAACUCCUGGGCUCAAGCUGUCCUCCCACC